AGUGAACGCUGGCGGCAGGCCUAACACAUGCAAGUCGAACGGCAUCACAGUAGUAGGUUGCUGUCAGGGGAGUCGAGUGUCGGACGGUUGAGGAAUACAUCGGAAUCUACUUGUACACUGGGGCUAAUGUCGGGAAAGUCACGCUAAUACAGCAUUCGUCCUACGGGUGAAAGCAGGGGAUCUUCUGACCUUGCGGGAUUGAAUCGGCCGAUGUCGGAUUCGCUAGUUGGCGGGGCAAAGGCCAUGCAAGGCGACGAUGCGAAGCUGGUCUGAGAGGAAGAACCGCCACACGGGCACUGAGAAACGGCACAGACACCUACAGGAGGAAGCAGUGGGGAAUAUUGCGCGAUGGACGAGAGCCGGAUCCAGCCAUGUCGCGGAAGGGAAGAAGCAGUUCGGCUGGGUAAAUCCUGUUGGUCGGAAGAAAAAGCAACUCGUUAAUAGCCCGCUGUAAUGACGGUACCCAAAGAAUAAGCACCGGCUAACUUCGUG
Molecule: ribosomal RNA, 492 nt
Filed under: uncultured bacterium
Lineage: Bacteria
Description: partial 16S ribosomal RNA
Rfam family: Bacterial small subunit ribosomal RNA
Source: RNAcentral